This 65-nucleotide microRNA precursor is filed under the name Bombyx mori (domestic silkworm). RNAcentral describes it as "mir-2774 microRNA precursor family". It matches the Rfam family "mir-2774 microRNA precursor family". Lineage: Eukaryota; Metazoa; Arthropoda; Insecta; Lepidoptera; Bombycidae. The record is from Rfam by way of RNAcentral.
GCAACAUUAGGGACAGUCGGUCUAACAAGCAAUAACACUCGCUUGGAAGAUCUUCCCUUCGUCGU